RNAcentral lists this ribosomal RNA (320 nucleotides) under uncultured bacterium. Its description in RNAcentral is "bacterial SSU rRNA". It matches the Rfam family "Bacterial small subunit ribosomal RNA", at positions 152 to 507 of the family's 1533-position model. The record is from RNAcentral.
GUAAAUUUGAGCUAAUACCGGAUAAUGUCUUCGGACCAAAGAUUUAUCGCCUUUAGAUGGGCCCGCGUUGGAUUAGCUAGUUGGUGGGUAAAGGCCUACCAAGGCGACGAUCCAUAGCUGGUCUGAGAGGAUGAUCAGCCACACUGGGACUGAGACACGGCCCAGACUCCUACGGGAGGCAGCAGUGGGGAAUAUUGGACAAUGGGCGAAAGCCUGAUCCAGCAAUGCCGCGUGAGUGAUGAAGGCCUUAGGGUUGUAAAGCUCUUUUACCCGAGAUGAUAAUGACAGUAUCGGGAGAAUAAGCUCCGGCUAACUCCGUG